GGGUCGGUAGCUCAGUCGGUAGAGCAGCGGACUUUUAAUCCGUUGGUCGCGAGUUCGAGCCUCGCCCGACCCA
This 73-nucleotide transfer RNA is filed under the name Azoarcus indigens. It matches the Rfam family "tRNA". From Rfam's summary of the family: Transfer RNA (tRNA) molecules are approximately 80 nucleotides in length. Their secondary structure includes four short double-helical elements and three loops (D, anti-codon, and T loops). Lineage: Bacteria; Pseudomonadati; Pseudomonadota; Betaproteobacteria; Rhodocyclales; Zoogloeaceae. The record is from Rfam by way of RNAcentral.